GAUGGUGCCGAGGAAACCUGAAAACCAUCCCAGGAAGGGGGAGCCGGAGGAGGUCCCGAGGGAAGGCCUCGCUGGGUGCCGGUAACAGGGACUAUCACAGGCCACCCACAGACAAAGUCCUUCCACAGGUCACAGGAGCCACAACUGCCCAGCCCAACCCUGGGGAUCCAUCCUGUGGCCAAGGAGUACUGGUUCAAAACCACCUGUGUAACCCUGUUUCUUUUGUCUCUCUUUGCCUCCUGAGUGUACUGUAACCUGGCACAGCACACACAGCCCCACUGCUACGAAACCCCCAGUACACUCAAGACGUUCGAAGGCUGUUAUUUAGGUUGUGGCACAAGCAGGUGUUGGACCACAGUCAUCGGGCCUUUUGCUUUCUAAGAAACUCCCAAACCGACGUCCAGAGUGCCUGUGCCUUUCACCUCCCACCAGCAAAGCCCAUCCUUUUGAGUACCUGGGAGUCACCUCUGUGCUUCAGCCAGUGCUGCACGUGUAGCAAUGCCACAGUGUGCCUGCCGCGACAGGGUCCGUGACAGCUGGACGGGGACAUCCUCUCUGGAUACAGGCCAGAUGAGUCCAACGCUCAGGGGGCUGAGGCAGGAGGGUCAGCCUGAGCUACAUGGCAAGUUUGAGAGCAGCCUGCAACAUAGUGAGACGGACAGAAGGAACGAGAGGAAGAAAGGGAGAAAGGAGAGGCGUGACUCCUCAACAUUUGUCAGAGAGAUGUCCACAGAUGGGCCCGGGAGAGGGGUCAGAACCUGAGAGAAAUGGGCUGAGCAGAGGACCUGUCACAGGCCACAGAGGAAGAGGAGGCCACUGUUGGACCUUGUUCCCAGAUUCGAUUAGUGACGAUCCCUUGAAGCACGACACAGUCAUGAGUACUCACUGGAGAACUUUAUUUUCUGGCCGGGACCCAUGUGCACUCCAACCAAGCCGGAGGACAAAAGGCCCCAACUGAAAUGAGGACUGCAUAUUUAAAGGGAAAAACUACAGAAAAAGUCCCUCCUCCCAUUCCCCCGGGUAACGCUGUGUUGCAGAUCACCUGAAGCACAGUUUGCUUGUUUUACCUUGAAGUUAUAUGCAUCGGUUAGGGGUGGGGUUUUCUCCCAGGAGACAGAGUGCAGCUGGAAGUCACAUAUUUGCAAAAUGGAGGACAAUGUUCUCAACAUGGCGCUGGUAUUGCUAAGCUGCUGAGUUGGGUCUCACAGCCACCAAACAGAUGGACCAGAAAGGCUUGGCCAAGUGCUGAGCAGUUCUGCGGGGCCACCUGGUUGUCCACUACUAUGAGCUGAGGGCCACACAAGGGUCCUUGCACCCACUUGCAAACCCCAAGGCUCCACGGCUGCUGACAAGGAAAACUGUGGACCGUGCUGCAGACAGAGCCCUGUGGCAACAGGGGUCCCAGGUGAGGAAGGCACGAGUGAUCUGGGCUGUCACAGCAACAGUCAGGACUGUCACCGCUGGCAGGCAGAGCUUCCAGACCAGUCACCAGGACACCAGGCUGCAUUCCUGCGAAUCUGACUAAAGGGAACAGGUGGCUUCCUGGCAGGUCAGCAUGGAUAAUGGUGGCUUCCUGGCUGGUUCCCUGACUUGUCACCAUAGACAACGCUUGGCUUCCUGGCAGGUCACCAUGGAUGUUUCUCUGGUUGUCACCAUGAAUAACUGUCAGUUCCCUUGUUGACCACUGACCAGCCAGAGAACCAACCAUUACCCACAACUACUUACCCACUCUCAUUUGCCAACGCACCACCUUACUUAUCCAACUGCUGACCUGGACCUCAUAACAAACUCUCUGUGUACAGCAUCCAGUCUGGACCUCUUGAUGCUGAGCCUUACAGAGCAUCCAGGAGGCUUUUAUAAGUGAAGGACUUUGCAGAGAAACAGAGAGCUCUCUCUGGGGUGUAUGCUGCAAGUAUUUUCUGCUCUCUUGGUUUAGUCUUAAUUUUAUGAUGUUUCCUAUCAUGCAACUUUAUUUGUACAAAAUCCAGUUUACCAAUCCUUUUUCUUAAUGCCCCUGCAUUUUGAGUUAUACCCUUGCCUAAAACAGGAAAUCGUCUGUAUCUUCUGCUAGUACUGGUAUGGUUGCACUUUUCACCACCUGAUCUAACUGGAUUUCAUUCUUGCACAUGGAAAGAGAUGCGGAUCUAAUUUCAUCUUCUUCCAAAUGGCAGUCCAGCUGUCUCAGCACCAUUUUUUAGAAGAUGAAUCUCUGCCUGGUGACCUGACACCUCUGCCACUUGCGGAGUUUCCACACACGCUUGGGACUGUCUUGGAUUCUCUUUUCUACACCACUGGCCUAUU
Molecule: long non-coding RNA, 2301 nt
Filed under: Heterocephalus glaber (naked mole-rat)
Lineage: Eukaryota; Metazoa; Chordata; Mammalia; Rodentia; Bathyergidae
Description: lncRNA (ENSHGLG00100045603.1)
Source: RNAcentral